GUGAAUCAUCGAAUUUUUGAACGCAAAUUGCGCUUCCUAGCAUCCCGGAGGGUAUGCCUGUUUGAGGGUCAGUAUUAACAAAAAAUCGUUUUGGUUGUGAAUGGUGACGUUGGAGUAGUUUGAGCUUGUCGUAUCUUUUUUGAUUAAGGGGCUUAAAAUUGACCUUGUUUGCGCGGUUUUAGACGUACAUAGAUUUUUUUUUAUUCGUCUAUUCUUAAUGCCAAAAUCUUAUUAGAUGCGAUCACAUCGUGUGUUUUCGUUUCCAUAAAAUUUUCAUGAUUGGA
RNAcentral lists this unclassified non-coding RNA (284 nucleotides) under Glomeraceae sp. RNAcentral's name for it is "partial contains 5.8S ribosomal RNA and internal transcribed spacer 2". The stretch from base 1 to 71 matches the Rfam family "5.8S ribosomal RNA", at positions 84 to 154 of the family's 154-position model. The record is from RNAcentral. Lineage: Eukaryota; Fungi; Glomeromycota; Glomeromycetes; Glomerales; Glomeraceae.